GAGUUUGAUCUUGGCUCAGGACGAACGCUGGCGGCGUGCUUAACACAUGCAAGUCGAACGGAAAGGCCCUGCUUUUGUGGGGUGCUCGAGUGGCGAACGGGUGAGUAACACGUGAGUAACCUGCCCUUGACUUUGGAUAACUUCAGGAAACUGGGGCUAAUACCGGAUAGGAGCUCCUGCUGCAUGGUGGGGGUUGGAAAGUUUCGGCGGUUGGGGAUGGACUCGCGGCUUAUCAGCUUGUUGGUGGGGUAGUGGCUUACCAAGGCUUUGACGGGUAGCCGGCCUGAGAGGGUGGCCGGCCACAUUGGGACUGAGAUACGGCCCAGACUCCUACGGGAGGCAGCAGUGGGGAAUAUUGCACAAUGGGCGGAAGCCUGAUGCAGCAACGCCGCGUGCGGGAUGACGGCCUCGG
RNAcentral lists this ribosomal RNA (412 nucleotides) under uncultured microorganism. RNAcentral's name for it is "bacterial SSU rRNA". It matches the Rfam family "Bacterial small subunit ribosomal RNA", at positions 9 to 420 of the family's 1533-position model. The record is from RNAcentral.